Long non-coding RNA from Lathyrus oleraceus (garden pea), 1950 nucleotides. RefSeq lists it as uncharacterized. NCBI's taxonomy places the organism in Eukaryota, Viridiplantae, Streptophyta, Magnoliopsida, Fabales, Fabaceae. The record is from RefSeq and is a predicted model, not a curated record. The transcript is spliced from 3 exons.
ACCAAAUUAAAUUUAAAACUGAUUGAACGCGUGCAGGAUCAGUGAAUCAUGUCUCCGGUCAGGCAACCUCUCAAUCCACCAUGGACCACCGCGUCGGAAAUCGUCUGUGGCGGCGGCGGCCACCAAAAACAAGAAAAUAACCUCUCAACAUGACCAACUACUCCUAUUCUUCCCAAGCCCUAAGUCAAUUCCUCCCAAUUUCCCUUUAAUCAUCUAAAUCAAAGAGGGCUAGGGAGGAACCCUAACAACCUAAAUGCAAAUUAAAUGGCGGAAGCGCAAAAUUAGAGCCCUAGAUGUUAGGGCUUUGAUCUGCCUCAACACAAGAUACACUGUGGUAAAUCAAAUGAAGCAAGAAGGUGGAAAUCAAGCAUGAACUCACAAGAACGCCGUGCCAGAGGUUCCAGGUAAUUCUCUGAAUCCUUCCAAGCUCUCUCCUCUUUCUUCCUCGCCUUAAUCUUCUUCUUAUUCCUUAUUCUUUUAGAUGAAUUUGAGAGAAUGGUUGAGAUCUGUACUUAUGAUUUUUGAGAGAGACUUAUGAUUUCUCAUAGAGUGAAAGAGAGAUUAGGGCUCAGCUCUUGUUGUUUUAGAGCUUCAAUGUAAGGCCUUGAGCAACAAUGGAGAAAAAGCUUUGGAGUGAGGGAAAAGGUUGAGCUCAGAGAGAUCGAAAAUUUGGAAAUUAUGGGAAUGAAAACCUCCCUCGAAUGAGUGAAAGAUGCAUGGAUUUAUAGCAUUUGAAAUUCUGUUAUGAGAUGCUACUCAAAUUGCUUUGAAACUCACCCCAAAUUUAAAGUCAGUUGAAAAUGAGAAGAGUUGUUAAUAUGUUAGUUAUGUAACUCCAGUUAGUUAGAUUAGGUUUCGGUUCAAGUUAAUUGGGAUUGCAAUCCAGUUAGUGAUGAUUAUGCUUAUAUGAGUGUUACAUUAGGUUAGUUACAGUGGAACUCCAAUUUGUGUUAUGUUAAAAAGCAGGGUUCCUAUUAUGCCUCAGUUUUUUCUGCUAAGCAUUUGCUAUACUUGUUAAUUGUGUUGCUGCUAAAUGAGUUGUGGAAUUGGGAUUAUGGGAGAAUAGUUAGUUUUUGACUCAGACCUUAUGAACUUCAUUUUAUAGAAAUCGAAUUAAAAAAAAGAUGAAUGUCACGAGGUGAAGUUUGAUAUGAAAAAGGUUGGUAUUUGCUUCUUCCUUGAUGGUCUGUUAUGCAGAACCUAUAGAAAUGAUUUUGUUGUUUCCCAUGCCUAUGCAUGUGGAGUUAGAGGUACAAUUAGUGUGCUUGAUUGGGAAAUGCAGGGCCAAUGAGUUGCCAUGAGUUUCUUCCACUACAUAGCUAAGGAAAAACUAAGCAUUACCUCAUUUCUACAAGCCUGCCAAAGGAUGUUGCUGAAAAGGGCUGAUUAUGUAGGAUUUGGCAUUUGGUUAUGACUUCAUGGUAUGGACAUUUGAAUGGUAGAACAUGGCUUGGAGCAAAAUGAGGUUUACUUGCUCAUGAAGAAAUUGAUCAUGGAAUCACUUAUGCAGGACUCUAAUCAAAAUAGUCAGAUAGACACUCAUCAGAUACAUAAUCAAGUUCUUAGAUACCGAUUAGAAGAUACGCAAGCAGAAGCUCUGACUCUGAUCAACACAAGUGCAAGCUAAACAAAAGACAUCAGACACUCUGAAGUGGAAGAAUGACUCUAGAAUUUGAAGACUUAUGCUAUGAUGAAAUCAAGUGAAAGGAAGCUCUGAAGACAAUCAGCAGCAAGCAUAUAUCUGAUGAUACCCCUUUUGAAUAGAGACUCUGAAGUUCGAUCCAUCUAAUUCAGAAUACUUAGCUAUGAAGGAACCCAUUUAUGGAAAGAAUCUAAUUCAGGAAGAAGUUUCUGGCCCCCCAAAAUUGUUUUGGAAAGAACACAGAGAUUAAUGACAUUAAUCAUCCAUCAUUGCCCAAGAUUCUAACAUUAACAUCCUUUAACGGUCCU